AGAGAAGAAAAAAAAAAAAAAAAAAAAAAAAAAAAAAAAAAAAGUCAUCGACACAGUGAAGUCGACUUCGAGACUUCGACUGUGACGCACGCCUCAGCCCUCACGAAGACUUGCUUGGUGUUGAUGCUUCCAUUGCUAAUUCCUUCUAAUUUCUUGAGUAUCUUGUUGAUUGAGUAGCAAAAAUCGAUUCCCAAUUGUUCAAUUCGACUCCAAGUGACCAAACCCUAGCUAAGAAUGAAACAAGUAAGUGUUUGAAAAUUGAAAUUUUACCAAUUUGUUUAGGUUGAAAUUGCUAUGUUUUUAUCUUGAGUUUGGUGAAAUUGCUAUGUUUUCAUUGAUGUUAUUGACUUAUUGAUUGAUUUGGUGAAAUUGCUAUGUUUUCAUUGAUGUUAUUGACUUAUUGAUUGAUUUGGUGAAAUUUUACCAAUUCGUUUAGGUUGAAUUUGCUAUGUUUUUAUCUUGAAUUGGUGAAAUUGCUAUAUUUUCAUUGAUGUUAUUGACUUAUUGAUUGAUUUGGUGAAAUAAAAUUGCUAUGUCAUAUUGUCUUUAUUGAAAUUCAAUUUUGAUUUGGUGUAAUUUCUAUGUUUUGACUUUUGAUUGAAGCUAUUGGAUGAUUUGGUGAAAUUAUUAGUUAUUUAGCUUAAUGUUGAAUUGUAGGUUACCCUUGGUGGUUUUCUUACCAAAAGACCAAGACCUAAUAUUAAUUAAAGUGGUGAAGGAUCUUCCCAAACACCAAUCACCAACCAAUCAAUUCCUUCGGUCUCUAAUGCAAUUCCACAAACACCAUGCUCUAAUGAAACUAAUGAUGGUGUUGAUUUGAAAGAUCUUCCAAAGGACCCGACGGAUAGGCCAAUGAUUACAAGUUAUGCCUCAAAUAUAAGAGAUGAUGUAAGAAGGGCAUAUUUGCUUCAAGGGCCUUGUCAAAUAAGGCUACAUAAGUUUCCAAAAAAGAAAAUAGGUGAUAGAUUAAGAAGCUUCGUUCCUUCAUGGUUUAACGAUUUUGAUUGGUUGGAAUAUAUUGUGAAAAAUAAAAAAGCAUAUUGUUUAUAUUGCUAUGUAUGUGGAGACCUCAUGGGACAAAAAGGAGGGAGAGAUGCAUUUGUUUCCUAAGGUUUUGAUACUUGGAAUAAAAAAAUGCAUUUCGGACUCAUGUGGGUAAUGUUGAUAGUUUUCACAACAAAGCAAGAGGAAAUUGUGACUUUUUAUUGAGAGAAAAACAAGCUAUUAAUGUAGUCUUGAGGAGGCAAACCGAAGCAGAGGACCAUAAAUAUAAAGCGUGAUUACGUGUUUCUAUUAUUGUUGUUAGACUUUUAUUGAAGACCGGUUUACCGUUUCGUGGUAAUGACAACUCGGUUAACUCGGAAAAUAGAGGGCUUUACAUUGAAGUGUUAAAAGUCAUUCGAGAGACUAGUUAAGAUAUUUUCAACAAUACUUUAGAAAAUGCUCCUAAGAACAAUCAACUUAUUUGCCCUAAAAUCCAAAAAGAACUUGUGCAAUGUUUUGCACAAGAAGUAUUUUUUAGUAUUCGUCAAGAGAUUGGUCAAGAUGUAUUCGCUUUAUUGGUUGAUGAAUCUAGCGAUGUCUCAAAAAAGGAACAAAUGGCUAUUGUUUUGCGAUAUGUUGAUAGUCUUGGCUUUGUGAAAGAAAGAUUCAUUGGAGUUGUGCACGUGAAAGAUACAUCCUCUUCGACAAACAAAAACGCCUUAAAUGAAGUACUUACAAGUAAUAAGUUGAGUUUUAGUCAGGUAAUUUAUUCUUUACUUUUUGUUACUUCAAUUUAAUUUAAUUAGCUUUGUGUUAUAUUAUUUAUAUAUUUUUCAAUUUUUUGAAUAGAUAAGAGGACAAGGUUAUGAUGGGGCUAACAAUAUGCGAGGGGAAUUUAAUGGUUUGAAAGCUUUGAUAUUACAAGAGAAUGACACAACUUUUUAUGUACAUUGUUUUGCACACCAACUUCAAUUGGUGGUUGUAGCUGUAGCAAAGAAGCAUGAUGGUGUUAGUGACUUUUUUGAGUAAAUUUCGUUGGUGGUUAAUGUUGUUUGUGCCUCGUGUAAAAGAAAAGACUUGUUACGGGAACAAGCAAGACAAAGGGUGCAAGAAGGCUUAUGUAGUGGUGAACUUGAAACAGGAAGAGGAUUAAAUCAAGAGACUACACUUGUUCGGGCGGGAGAUACAAGAUGGGGUUCACAUUUCAACACACUCACAAGUCUGAUGAAGUUGUUUGCGGAUGUUCUUGUGGUUUUAGAAUUUGUGAAAGUGGAUGGAGGGUCAUUGGCAAACCGCCAACAAGCGUCCGGAAUUUUAGCAUAUUUUCAACCAUAUGAGUUCGUGUUUUACUUGUAUAUGAUGUAUGACAUUUUACACCUCACGGGUACAUUAUCAAAGCAACUUCAAAAAAAAGAUCUAGACAUUUUAGAAGCGGCUUCGAUGGUUAGAGGGACAAUGGAAGCAUUGCAAUCUUUAAGAGACACGAGGUUUGCUACCAUUUUGCCAAAGGUAUCCUCUUUUUGUCAAACACACAAUAUUGCUACUCUGGAAAUGCAGGAUUUUUAUAUUGGUGCGAGAAACCGUACGACCACAAAGACCAAUAGAUUUCACUUUGAGGUUUAAAUCUUCAACACAGUGGUAGAUAUGCAAUUGACAGAAUACCGGGAUCGAUUUAGUGAAACAAGCACCCAGUUACUAGAAUACAUGGGUGCUUUGAGCCCUUGUGAUAGAUCUUGAAGGACAACUUGAAGGACAACUUGAGAUAUUUUAUCACUCUUCCAUCAAAGAUGAGUGUUUUACCACUUUGAAAGGAAUUUCCGAGCUUUCUCGUUUGAUGGUUAGUACGGGGAAACAUCUGUCUUAUCCUUUGGUUUAUAAGCUUUUAAAGUUAGCUUUGAUAUUACCCGUAGCAACCGCUAGUGUAGAAAGAUGUUUUUCGAAGAUGAAGCUCUUGAAGACCGACUUGCGCAACAAGAUUGGCAAUGAAUUUUUGAACGAUGCGUUACUUUGCUAUGUUGAGACCGAAGCACUUAUAAAAGUUGAGAAUGAAAAGGUAAUGGAACGGUUUCAAAAGAUGUCCACACGAAAAUGACAAAUUUAAAUUGGAUAGAUGAUAGAUUGUUGUUAUGGUUUUAACUUUUAUGUAAUGAAUCGCUUAUUUGUAUUAGACAUAAUGAAUUAGUUUUUGGUUUUAUAUUAAGUUUGACCGGAAAAAAAAAAUCGACAACACCUACUAUCAAUUCCUGCAUCCGUCUCUGGUAACUGGGUAGAACAAUGAUUUAAAUGUCCUACUAUCAAUUCCUACGUCUCUGGUAACUGGGUAGAACAAUGAUUUAAAUGUCCUCGAUCAAUCGCCGUUGUUUGAUGUGAAAUACUAUGAAACAGGACCCGAUUGUUCCUUUUAUCUAAAUGACGAACACUACAAGCGUUGUUACUAUCUUACGGAUGAAAUAUAUCCAUCAUGGGUUGUACCCUCCCAAACUGUUUUAAAUCAAUGUUUACAUCUCUAUUACCAAUUACACUAAAUGGACAAUGACACUAAAAUUAUUUGUAUUAUGUUAUGGUUUUAUGCUCUAAUCAUCGAGCACAAUAACCGAUUUAAAGAUUGUGUAAACCAGGGAACACAAAGGUGGAAGAGCUGCUACAAGGAAGCAAAUAUUACUUAAAUUUUGAAAGGAUAAAAACAAAAAGAAUGGGAAAAAAGGUAUGGAAUGCCACUUUCUCCUUUAUCUAAAACCUUACCCUCCUAGUAUUUAAUGACAACAUAAAGAUAGAAUCAAAAAAACUAACGUUUAAGGUUUUAGUAAUCAGAUUCUCUCAUUUAAUCGCACAAAUUUUGCUGACUAUUAUGUAUUCUAGCUUACUUUGGCAUUUCAACGAGCAUUUGAUUCGACAUAUUUCAGUGUAAUUUCCUCACGUUUAAAAUAGACCGAUAUAAAUUUAAGAUAUUAAUGUCUUGCUUCAACCAUGAAAAACGAGAUUUUUCAUAAAGGCAAUUUUAAAUAAGGGAAUAUAAAUAACCAAAAAACUAUUUAAAACAUACUUUCUGUAUUAAAGAUAACCAAGACAAAUAAUACCAAAAAACACGUCCAUGCUGAAUAACAAUUUAACAAAACACCAACCAAAACUUGUUCUCAUAAAAAAUAAACUUGUUCAAACAAACUUUAACUAACCAUAACUUACCAAAAUUACCCUUCUCCCUCAAGCCUUCAUGCGGUUAUAGAACUUGAGCUUCUCCUGUGUAGUCUGGAAACGCCCAUGUCCAAAUUUGGAAGAAGUAUCAAUGAACUUGAGCUUAAUCUCCUCAAGCGCCAGCCUGGACGUCUGUGCCAACAAGGAUUGACGAAGUGUCACCACCCUCUUCUUGGGGCCCACACAGCAACCUUUGAUCAACAAAUAGUCAUCCUUCACCACUCCAUAGUGAGGGAACCCACCCAUUGGAGUUAUAUCCUUCUCAGUCCUACAUCAAUCAAACAUUAUUUACACAUUAAGUCCUCCUACAACAUUUAUUUACAUUUUUAGUCCUUAAAAUAACAAACCUGUCAAACUCAGUAAGAGCAGUAUGUGACUCUAGUCCAGUUUUCCCAAGCUUGUAAAUCUUCUUGUUCAUUUCAGUACGAUGAUGGUAACCAUUCUGCCCGGCUCGGGCAACUGUGAAGGAAACUCGGGCAGGGUGCCACGCUCCGAUACACGCCACCUUACGGAGACCUCUGUGAGUCUUACGUGGCAGCCUAGUCACACCCCAACGAGUCACAACACCUUCAUAACCUUUACCUUUUGUAACUCCAAUUAUAUCAAUCAUUUCAUCCUUUUGGAAAACUGCAUCAAUUGGGAUUUGCUUUUCGAAAAAUCCAUAAGCAAAAUCCACCUUUUGAGCAAUUGUUCCUCCGUUUACUUGAAUCUCCAUUAGGUGUGCUUUCUUCUGCUUCAACCCUUUCAUUUUCCUGAUCUGGGUGUGGGCUAAGACCCGGAUUACAGUUCCAUAUUUCUUCAUUUUCUCAAGCUGGGAUUGAAUGUCCUUUUUGCCCUCGUCGGAUUCGAAUUUCUUUGAGUAUUUGGCAAAUGCUUUCUUCUUGGAUUUGCACCAGUUUUUGUAGAAUCUUCUCUUGAUGUCUUCGCUCAGAUGUUGAGCCCAAACAGUGUUCAAUGAACGAAGGCCACGUGGCGUCUUGACAUAGGCUACCACUCCAACAACCACCAUGGGUGGGGUCUCGAUGAUGGUCACUGCUUCGCAUGUUUCCUUCUUGUGAAGCUCUGUGAAUCCAAAGGAAGAUGUUUUUUAAUCAACUAGAUUAAUCAAGAAUCUGAGAGUUUCAGACUUUUUUUUCAAAGAUUGAAAAGUAAGUGGAAAUCUGAAGAGGGUUUUACUUGAUCCAGGCUUCUCGACAUCUCUGACAAUGUGAGUCAUCCCAGCCUUGUAGCCCAAGAAAGCGGUUAGCUUGCAUGGUUUGGUUGGGUCAUCCUUGGGGAAAGCCUUCACUGUAAUGGAUAUAAGGAAGAAAGACAUUGCAUAAGAUAUAACAUGAUUUAAUCAUAUCAGAUUGUGGUUUUAGGUGUAAGAUUAGAAGAUGUUAAAGUGAUUAAGCCAACAAGGAUUUAAGUAAAAGAAACCAAUUAUUUCAAAUUGAAGAGGAAACGUUAUUGUUCACAUCAUAAACCUCAAACUACAAAUGAAACAAUUUGAUGUUGAUUUGUGAUGCAAAUAGACAUGGCUAUGUUGACACAAAAUCGCAAAUAAGUUUGUUAAACAAAUCCUAAAUCAUGUAAGUCCUCAAUCAAAAAAAAGACAAUGCGUAUUUUAAGUAAAAAACAACAAUGUAUACCUUUCCCUCUGUGGCGAGCAGCACGCUUCCUGGGAAGAAAUCCAAGGGAACCAUGUCUGGGGUGCUCAAACUUCCUGUGAGACAUCCUACUCUUCCUCCUCCUUCACCUUUAAUGUUAAAAAAAAGAAAAAACAAUUAAAAACAAUACACACCUCAAAUGAGCUUUAAAUCGAAGUAUAAACAAGCAUAUACAUCUCUAAAUCGACGAACACACAAAAAUAGAGGAUUCAAAAUGAUUGCAAAAGAAAGAUGCUUCUCUUUAAUCAGAAUAAAAAUCGUAUAUGGUCAAUUGAAGAUGUUCACACAAAUGCAGAUCGACUAAAUUGCGAAAUUAAACCAUAUAAAGGUUAUCAUCUAUGAUUAGCAUGCGAAAAUAGCAAUCGAGGAUCAAAUGUGUUAGAGAGAUGUUGAAAGGAUGAGAGAACCUGCUAGUUGCUGCGAAGAUAGCCGUGCGGCGAUAGUUGCCCCAGUGAAAUGCAUCUAAAACCCUAGCAAAAUAUAUAUAAUCAUCGUAGUUUCCAUUGCACAACAAGCCCCCCUAAACUUUACAAAAAGCACAGAAAUUCCCCUCAGUUUUCUAAAAGACACCUAACGGGCUUGGGCUAAAGUUGGUUCUUGUCUUCCUAGGCCAGGGCCUCUAACUCUGUGUGUAUUUCAAUUUUCAAAGGCAAUGUUUACAUCAUAUUGAUAAAAAUUAGAAUUCAUUUUAUAGAAAUAAAAAAUACAUGUUUAUUUUGUCUAAUAAAAUAAAACGCAUCAUCGUUGUUAUUGAAGAAUUGUUUAUUUACUUUUGAAACAGCAUUUGUUGUUAGGGCCUAGUUGAAAAUAUAUUUACUAUUUUCAAAAGGAUUUUACUAAAAAGUAGUUGCGUAAAAUAUGGUUUCAACAUAUUAAAUAUUUUAAUAUAUUAAAUAUUUUAAUAAGUUUAAAAUAAUAAAAUUGUUAACAAUAAACCUAUCAAAAUAUGAUUCAAGCUCACCUUAUAACUUGUGGCCUCUUUAAAGUUCAAAAUAAUCAUUAUACAAGCUAGGGUCUUAAAUCCAGCACACAUUAAAUGAUUAUGACUUGAACCCUAAAAAUUAGGGUUUUAAGUCAGCAUACGUAAGUUGCGCAUACCACUUUGUCCUUGCGCGUACAUGCAUGGCUCCACAUUUUCCUUGUUCUUACUAUGUCGUGCAUACGACUUCAGCUAGCCCAAACACAUAGAGGCCCAACCUCUAAGCCCAAAAUAACUUCAUGGCCCAGAACAAUUAAAUACAUUAUUAAAUAAAUUAGCAAUACCUUGAAAUCACGGAUGUUACAGAAUAAGAAGCUUCAAAUAGACUAACUAUGGACACUUANCACGGAUGUUACAGAAUAAGAAGCUUCAAAUAGACUAACUAUGGACAUUUUGGCAAGUAUAGUCCAUCCUUGUUAUUCUUUUAUCUCAUUUGAUUAUCUUUUCACAAAUAACUCCGUCUACCACCAUCUAUUUUCGUAUUAAACCCCUCCCCACCAUAUUCCUCACAUUUUAAAUCUUGCAUAGUUAAAUAAAUUGGUAAAUAUUCCCAUUUUUCCCCAUUUAAAUCUUCAAAUAAUUGUAAAGUCUUUUAUUCAAGGUUUUACCUCCAUAAAAAAUUAAUUUUUUAUUAUUAUUUUAUAGUUAAUUUUAUUUUAUUAAAAUAUUUUUUUUAAUUUCCCAUUUUUUCUCAAAAAGUUCAAAACUUUUAGGCCCAAAAUUACGAUGUUACAAUUUUAUGUGAUGUUUUUGUAACGUCCGGAUCCUGGUAUGUAUUUUAAAUCAAACUAGUCAUUUUUGCAAAGGGACUCGACGAGUUAGAGGCCCAAACUCGUCGAAUAGGAAUGGAUUUUUGGACGCGGGACUUGAAAUCUACUCGAUGAGUUGAGAGCCUCAACUCGACGAGUAAGAUGCCAGAUUGAAACCCUAAUUUUCAGGGUUUGCACUCUAUUUAAACACCUUAACCUCCUAAGGAUGGCCUCAUUUGUAGUCUCCAUCACUCCAACCCCUAGCCAUGAAACCCUAAUCCACCUUCGAGUGUUCUUGAGCCAUUUUUGGGUAUUCUUGGUGAUUUUGAAGCUUGAGAAGGAAGGAGAAGCUUGAGGAUUCAAGAGGAAGGCACUGGAUCCGGAAGUUGACAUGCAUUUCUGACUCAUUUGAGGUAUAAAGUUGAUACGUUGGCUUUCCUUUGCUUAGAUCUUCAUUUAGGGUUGUAUUUUGUUACUUUUGGGCCAUAUUGAAGUCAUUUUUGGGAUUUGAGUGUAUCAUUAGGUUUUGACUUCAGAUCUAGACACUCAUGAGCUUAUAAGACUUAAAGUUGUCAGCUUUAUCAAGCCUUGACUAUUCCCCAUGCCCUAGACCUCUUAUAUAGCUUAGUUUUGGUGUUUCUAGCUUUGUGGCACCAUACAUGAACAUAAAGUUAGCAACUUUACGUGGUAACUUAGUCCUAGGGGAUCAGAUCUAUGGUUUGGAAGCAUUGAACUCGACUGGAAACGACUGAAUGAGUUCAGCCUAUGGGGGACUCGACGAGUUGUUCAUGCAACUCGGCGAGUUGGGUUGUGGUCCCCCAACUUUUUAUGUUGCUGGGUAAACUCAUUGAGUCUAGGAGAUGACUCAGCGAGUUGGCCAUGAUUUUGGGUUUAGAAGAUUGAAGAACUCGACGAGUUCAAGGAGGAACUGGCGGGUUAAGGGAAAUGUCUCGACUCUGUUAUGAGGAGGAAUUCAACGAGUUGGAUCGAGAUUUCUAGGGUUUUAUGGAUAUGGAACUCGACGAGUUUAUGGACCAACUCGGUGAGCUGAGUCAACCAGGAUGUUGACUUUGACCUGGAUAUGGACUUUGACUAGGAUGUUGACUUUAACUUUGACCAUUGACCAGAGUUGACCCUUAAAGGGGUUAUAAGUAUGAAAGGGGUAAUUAAAGGAGAUUUUUAUAUGUAGGAGUUUGAGAGGAGUUGAUCCCAGAGCUGAGGACAAUUCAACUAUUACACGACAUUUCAGGUGAGUUGUCUUCCAGAAGAAGUGGGUCGAAGGCACCAAUGCUGACCCACUGGUAUGAGCUAUAGUAGAGAUGAUUAUCUUUGUGAUAAUUAUUUGGUAUGUCACUAUCUGUUAUGCUUUAUGUGCUAAUAUGUUAUGAUAUUAUGUGAUAGUGGUAAGAGGGGUAGGAUAGACCCCAGUACCGGUCGAUAGGCCCGAAAGGGUAUGCCAACACCCGGAUAAGCUAGGCAGUAAAUGACUUAUGUGUUUACGAGCUAGAAUGUUAUAUGGUAGAAGUAGGGUUGAAAUAGUCUAUGGUACCGAUCGAAAGGAUCGAAGGGAUCGAACGGGUAGGCAAGCACCCUGGUAUGCUAGGAUAGGUACCGGUCGAAAGGACCGAAGGGGUAGGCCAGCACCCUGACAUGUUAGGCGAGUUAUUGGUUGCAAGAGACCAAAGGGGUAGGUCAUUACCCUGAUAUGCUAGGCAGCUACCGAUUGAAAGAGACCAAAGAGGUAGUCCAGUACCCAUAUAUGUUAGACAAUAUGAUUAUUGUAUGGUAUGUGGUAUAAUGGGGGAACUCACUAAGCUUUGUGCUUACAGUUUUCAGUUUUGUUUCAGGUCCUUCUUCUUCUUCGAAUGGAAAGGAGUCGGCACGAUAGCAACGCAUCACACACAUGAGAUUAUUGAGAUUUAUACUCUGAAAUUAUUUUCCUAUGAUAUGUUUUUGAGAUGGUUGACAUAGGGUUUUCAUGAUAUAAGAUAACAUUGAUGGCAUUUUCAGUAAUAGUUUUAUAAAUCUUUGAAUUUAAAAUGAAAUUUUUGGUCUUGAAAUUUGGGAUGUUACAAAUUUCUUUUAAUUUCAUAAUAAGAUUGAACGGAUAUUUAGCAAAGAUGAUAUUUAUAUAUUUUUUAUGUUGGAUUAGGUGUGUAGGACAUUAACUAAAUUAUUAGCAAAGUCCUUUUGGGUUUCCCUCAGACUAGUAAAAGACUGGAAUGUUAUUUGGAGAAAGAGACUGAUUUAUUAAUUUAUUAUAUGAUUAAUAAACUAAUUAGAAGUCAAAAUAAAUAAUUUAUUAAUAUGUCUUGAGAAAAAUAUAUCAAUUAAAAAAUAUAUUGUUUAAUUAUAAAUUAAUUAGAAAUUCAUUGAAAUUGAUUUUGGGAUUAAUUGGAAUAACUAAAAGUGGGAUGACUAAAGGUGACAAUGUUCAAAAGAUUGAACAUUGACCAAUUCUAGAACCUCCCAAGAGGGUUGGACGAAUUCUAGAAUGGUUCAAGGGUUUUCUUAGGCACUAAAGGUGCAUUGGAUGCUUUAGGAAGGAAGUUAAGGGGAUAUGACUUCUCGUAAGAAACUGUCUUAUCCUUAGUUCCAUUGAUCAUCUAUAUAAACCCUCCUUAGGUUUCAUAUUUUCGGCCAUCAUACCUCUCAAAAUAAUUCUAAAAAUUCUCCUUCUUUCCCCUCUUUCCUCUUUAGCCUCAAACUGUUAGGGUUUUGGUGUGAGUCAUCAGAGGCAUGAGAUUUCUGGUGUUGACUUUCUGAAGUUCUACAAAGAAGGAUUAAUAGUUUAUUUAUAAUAAUAGACUAAAAGGUAUUUUUUCUGUUAUCCCUUCUCCUAAAUCGAAAAUAGCAAUGUAGUUUAAAGUUUUUAAAUUCAAAUUGUUAUUUGCAUAUCAUAGUGAGAACAUAAAUCCUUUAGGGUGUAUGCGAACUUAAGGUUUAGGUUUUCCGCUAAAAAUAUGAUUUUUGUUACCUAUAAAACCCAUCAUUUUAUUAUUUAACUAAAUUACAAUCUUACAUUUUAAAUAAUGAAAAAAAUACUAAUUUGAUUGUAAUAUACUUAGUUUAAUGAAUUUUUAUUAUAUUAUAUCAGUCUUGUAGAAAAAAGCAUUUGAAAUAAUAUGUACCAGUUUAGAUGUACAUUUUUUACAUAAUAAAACAUGUUGGAGUCUAAAGUUUAUUUUGGAAAGUUUGAGUGAAUAUUUGUUUUCAAUGUUCAAAUUUUGCUAAAGAUGUUCUUAAAGAUUUGGAGUGGCUUAGGUGUUUUUUGUUUUUGUAAAAAACUUUUUCAGACCAUUUAUUUUUGUGCGGCGUAGCGCCACACUUGUCCCCUUGUAGCAAUUUGUGUUUUGGAAGGUUUCAGACUACAAAAUCUAUGCGUGUGUUGUGUCCGGCGCAACACUUGACUUGUCUCUUCAAACAUUUUCAGAUUUCAUUUUUUCCAAGUUUUUUUUUAGAAUUUUGGUAUAACUUUUUUUAAAACUUUGAUUUAUGGAUUUGAUAUAAUUUUUUUUAUAGUUUCCACAACUUCUUAUAACUUUUUUUUUUUUUAGUUUCUACAACUUUUUUUAACUUUUUUUUUUUUUUUUUUUUUUUUAAAUUUUGAUUUUUUUAAUUUUUUUUACCAUUUUUAUUAAUAAUAUUUUUAGUUUCGAUUGCAUAUUUUUUAGUAUGUGCAAUUUUUUUCGAACUUUGUAGACAUUGUUUGCACUAUUUUCUUAAAAAAAAUUAUUAUUUACUUUUUUUUAUGUUUUUUAAAAUUAUUUUUUUCUAGAAUAAAACUGAUAGUUUCUUUUAUAUUUUUUAGAUUUUUUUUAGAAAUUUUAUAUUUUUGUUUUUUUGCAUGUUCUUUUUAGUAUUCUUUCAAUGUUUUAAGAGUAUAAUUAUUAAAAUUUCGGUAUUGAGAAUUAUUUUCAAUUUAUAAAAUUAGUUUAUUUAAAUAUCAAUUUACCACAGAUGUUAAAAAAUAAACAUGUUUCUUAUUAUAUGUUGCAGCUGUUUGGUAUACCUCUUCUGUUGCAGAGGUGGUCCGUAGACUUCAUGAAUUUUUGUUUCGAAAAACAAACAGCACCUUAGCUUAGAUGUACCUUUUUCUGGGGAGGAGAUGGUAAGGUGGAAAAAGAGUUUUGCGUCGGAAGAUGUUGGAUAAUCGGGGGUUGGCUUGUUAUGCCGACUCUUUUGGUUAAAUGAAGGUGACAUUUUUUAUAAUGAACCUAUGUCAUAUGAGUGUGUUUGAUUAAAAAGUGUCCAUUGUGCUCAUUAAAGUGGAAUUGUGUGUGCUUUUCGAAGUUUUGAGGGAUGAUCGAUUGUGUUUAAGAUAAUUUGAUGAUCCAAAAGAAAAUUGGUUCUUACUUAGGUCACUUUUUGUUUGGAGACUUUUGAUUUGUUUGCAAAGUGAAGAUAUGACUUAUAUCGAUUUGUAUGAGAUUUUUUGAUGGGGGUGUCAAGAUGAUUUUUGUAUUUGGGUCUUAUGGGGAUCUAGAUGUUUUUGUUCUCUUAACUCAUAUUUUUUGGAAUUUGGAUAGUAAUUCAUUUUUUUUUUUGACGAGUUAACAAGAUGUAAUAAGUUGGUGUUGGUAAAAAUUCACAUUUUAGCUAGGCGAACAUUAUCGAAACAGAUUGGGUAAGUGAGACAUUUUAUUUUGAUUUUGGCUGGAGUUUCUUUUUGAUUCAAUUCUAGUUAUUUCCUUUCUUGGCUUAAAUCGGGUUGUAGUAACUUUACUUAUUCUUCAUCUAAUCCCAAUUUGACAUCUAACUUGUUAAAAGACCCUAAUUUGAAGGGGUGUUUGGCUUAGCUUUUCACCAAUGUUUUAAAAACCGGUUUGAAUCGACCGGUCGAACCGGUUGGACCGGAAAUCGGGGAAGUGAAUGGUUCAACUAUCACCGAUUUUAUGUCUAUUUCUGAACCGGAUUGAACCGGUUUUUACAAAAAUCCGGUUGAACUGGUUCAAUUAAACCGGUUGAACCGUUAAAUUGAAUAAAAACAUAUGGAAUCGAAACCUUUUGCAUAACAAACUUUGGUAGUUUUUUCAUAUUUAUUAAAUUUUUUUGAAUAAAAGCAUAUGAUAAAUAUUAUGAAGUUUUUUGAUACAUUUAUAUGCAUCUAGGACUUUAUUUGCUUUUUAAUGCACAUAGAUUAAUGUAAAACUUAUGGUUAUGAGUUAUUUUAAUGUACUUAGAAUGAUCUACAACUUGUUUUGGCAAAUUCACUCAGCGGUCGAACCGGUUAAACUGGUUGAACCGGAAAUCGGUCAUCAUUUCGGUUCAACUAAAAAACCGAUUUUUAAAACAUUGCUUUUCACAGUCCAAAAGUCCUUUUUGGAAAAGAAAAAAACAAAAGAUGUUUGACAAAACUAAUUUUAAAAGCUAAUUUUAGAAUUUUUAUAUAAGGAAAAUGAACUUUUUAGAAAAGUCAGGACUUUUUGUAACUUUUCAAAAAGGACUUUUGGGUUGCGAAAGUUAAGCCAAACACCCCUGAAUUCUUGUAUUGUUUAUAUUUACAGCUAGUUCUUUGCUAAUUUAUAUAAUAAAAUCUUUUCUUUGUUCAAAAAAAUAUAUAAACAACUAAUAUGAAAAGUGGUUAUAUCUAUAAGGACAUAUUUGUUACUUAGAUUAUUUUAAGGUUCCAUGACAACCACAAACGAUCAAAGUCGAGUAUUUCAAAGCUUCACGACAUCCAAAGAUGACAUAGACAGAUCAUUAGACAACUGUUGUCCACUAAGAUCCAACUAUUCAAGCUCAACUUAAAAACCAACUUCAAUCCACAUCUUUCAACUUCAAUUGAGAGAUAUACUCCAGCUCAAUCCAAAAAUGGCCUCAAAUAUGUAACACAAAUUGAUGGAAACAAGAACAAGUGGUUUUAUUCCAGAAAGAAGAUAUUAAAUUAUAUAAAAAUAACUAAACUUUAUGUUUCUUCAUGGGAUUACAGACAGAUUCAUCUUCUUCUUGAAGUCUAUCCCUCACAACCCACAAAAAUUACCCAAAUUUAAAAGAAUCAAUAAAAAAGAUUUAACCCCAAAAAAAAGAAAAACAAAAAAAGACUUUGCAAAAUCAAUCAUCAUCAAUGUAUCAGGUCCCGAUCCCUUUCUAUCUACACACAUUCACUGAUAAAUAUUUCACUCACAGACCAAUCAAAACCUUCAUCCAGACCUUUCUUCUUUCUUCUGUAACAUCUCUAAUUCUUCUUUCUUCAAUCUUCAAAUCUUCUUUCUUCACGUCUGUAUCACUUCAGUCACAAUCCAAUCCACAAACUUCCAACACAAUCCCACCCCUGUCCAAAAACGGGUUGACCCGGACCCACAACAGAGAGAAAAUCGACGCCAACAAGAUCGACCACACAAUCAAAAUCGUCGGAACCCCACUUUGCUUCCCCAUCAUACCCUUCAAGAACGGAUAAAGAUGCAAAAUCACCCAAAUCGCGAAGAACAAUCGACCAAAAAGCGGACCCCAUGAUUCGUAUCCAUUGCUAAUCGCAUCUGAUAUCCCAACAAUCACACCGAUUAUGUUGAUGAUUAAGAGGGUCAAUGGCGGGAUUAAGAGGGUCGUCCAUUUGAAGAGAUAAAGCUCUGCAAAAUCACCAUCGUCUCCUCCUUUUGACGUAACUGUAAAAUUCGUGUUGACUCCGGCCAAUACUUUGAGUAGACCUUGAAAAAGGGCAAAAAGAUGAGCUGAGACACCACCGAUUACCCAAAACUGUUCGUUUCUCCAUAAAUCAUCAAUCCCGACACCUCCCCAUUGGAUUUCGAGAAUGCUUGUUACAGCAAUGGAUAAAAACAUGAGCAUGAAGAGAAUACUUGCGUAAUUGCUUAUCUGCAAAUUUGUACAACAAUCUCAUCAGUCAUCAGUCAUCACCAAUCAUUUUAAUCUUUGAUAGAUUUUCAAAAUACUUACCUCAGGAACAAUAAACUUUCCAGUGAGUAGACAAACAGCAGGAAGUGUACAAUAGGCAACCAAGGGGACAGAUGUCAACGGAUAAACAACCGAAUUUAUAUACGAAAACCGCUCCAACGGUUUCAACCCGCACCCGUAUCCGUACCAAAUCGGACAAUGUCGGCUCAACAAGAUUUCAACCGACCCGAGGGCCCACCUAAGAACUUGAUGAAGACGAUCCGAUAGAUUAAUAGGAGCCGAACCCUUAAAAGCCGCCCUUUUUGGAAUACAAUAAACCGAUCUCCAACCAUGACAAUGCAUCUUGAAUCCCGUUAAAAUAUCUUCCGUAACCGACCCGUAAAUCCAUCCAACCUAUUUUUAAAAUUAAAAAAAAAAAAAGUUAAGUAUAUAUUAAAAUAAGAAAAUAACCGCUAUGCGUGUCCAUUUCGUUGGCCCGUUUUGUUACAAAAACGGGACCGUGAAAUGGAUCUUGGGUCCUGUUUCUGUUUCGGUAACAGAAACAAGACCUACAAAAUGGGUCUUGUUUCUGUAAAAGAAACAGGACUCACAAAAUGGAAGAGGAUUUUAAGGGAAUACCUCUUUUCCCCAUUCGGUUUUAUCUUCAUAACCGCAACUUAUAACAUGAAUGGCUUCUUUCAAGAGUGAUGCGGAAGUUGCUCCGGGAGGAACACCGCCGUCUUCCAAAAGUGUUGAAGCGAUAAAAACCGGAGAUUGACCGAAUUUUUUCUCAAACUUUAUUUGAGGCAUGAGUGAUGACUUUUCACUAUCGAUUCCUAUAUUCAAAAGAAGAAGAAAAAAAAAAUUAGGGUUUUUGACAUAAAAAGAUUUUGAAAUUGGUCCCCUUUAAAAGCACACGAUACUUACCUUCGAUUCCUUCUUCGAUAUUCUCUAACGCAUGUAUUUGUGGUGAAGUCUCUUUAUUCUUCUUAUUACUCUUGCUUGUUUUCUCCUUUGACUUCCCUUUUCCUUUCUUCUUUCUUGAUGACAAACAACAACAAAACCAUUUUGGCAAACAAUUGCAUGUUUUCCCGGGUGGUUUCUUUUUUGUUGGGGCAUCGUAUCCAUACAAUGCUUGUCUCCUAAACACACACCCCGUUCCCACAUAUAUUGGCCCUUGUAUUCCAUCAAGCCCUUUCAUAUUAAUCUAAUACAAAAUAUCAAGUUGAAAUUAGUUUAUGAUGAUGACAUUAAUGUUAUAUAUAAAGAUUGAGUUGAAAAGUUAGUUUGCAUACAUCGAAGAACACAACAUUACGAUUUGAGUAUCGAUCGUGUCGAUCAAUACCAUCGAAUCUUUGAGGAAAUUGAACAUAACAAAUCUUCUUUCCGGAUGUGGGGUCCAUCAUGAAACACAUAGAUUCUCUAAGUGCUUUAGAGUUGUUGAUGUAGUGAUCACAAUCGACAUUGAGCAUAUAAGGUGCGUUUGAGAUCAC
RNAcentral lists this long non-coding RNA (15877 nucleotides) under Lactuca sativa (garden lettuce). Its description in RNAcentral is "long non-coding RNA (LSAT_LNC006827)". Lineage: Eukaryota; Viridiplantae; Streptophyta; Magnoliopsida; Asterales; Asteraceae. The record is from RNAcentral.